This 497-nucleotide ribosomal RNA is filed under the name uncultured bacterium. RNAcentral describes it as "partial 16S ribosomal RNA". It matches the Rfam family "Bacterial small subunit ribosomal RNA", at positions 28 to 507 of the family's 1533-position model. The record is from RNAcentral.
GAUGAACGCUGGCGGCGUGCCUAAUACAUGCAAGUCGAGCGAACAGACGAGGAGCUUGCUCCUCUGACGUUAGCGGCGGACGGGUGAGUAACACGUGGAUAACCUACCUAUAAGACUGGGAUAAAUUCGGGAAACCGGAGCUAAUACCGGAUAAUAUAUUGAACCGCAUGGUUCAAUAGUGAAAGACGGUUUUGCUGUCACUUAUAGAUGGAUCCGCGCCGCAUUAGCUAGUUGGUAAGGUAACGGCUUACCAAGGCAACGAUGCGUAGCCGACCUGAGAGGGUGAUCGGCCACACUGGAACUGAGACACGGUCCAGACUCCUACGGGAGGCAGCAGUAGGGAAUCUUCCGCAAUGGGCGAAAGCUUGACGGAGCAACGCCGCGUGAGUGAUGAAGGUCUUCGGAUCGUAAAACUCUGUUAUUAGGGAAGAACAAAUGUGUAAGUAACUAUGCACGUCUUGACGGUACCUAAUCAGAAAGCCACGGCUAACUACGUG